Molecule: ribosomal RNA, 106 nt
Filed under: Chrysemys picta bellii (western painted turtle)
Lineage: Eukaryota; Metazoa; Chordata; Testudines; Emydidae
Source: RNAcentral
UAACACCAUUGCAUGUAAUUUUGCUAGAUCUAGCAAGCUAAGCAGAAUUUGCUCUGGUCAGUUCUUGGAUAGGAGACUUCCAAGGAAAUCAUAGGUUCUGUGUGAA